GGGGAAUAUUGGACAAUGGGCGAAAGCCUGAUCCAGCCAUGCCGCGUGAAUGAUGAAGGCCUUAGGGUUGUAAAAUUCUUUCAACGGGGACGAUAAUGACGGUACCCGUAGAAGAAGCCCCGGCUAACUUCGUGCCAGCAGCCGCGGUAAUACGAAGGGGGCUAGCGUUGUUCGGAAUUACUGGGCGUAAAGCGCACGUAGGCGGACUGAUUAGUUGGUGGUGAAAUCCCAGGGCUCAACCUUGGAACUGCCAUCAAUACUGUCAGUCUGGAGCAGAGUAGAGGUUAGUGGAAUUCCAAGUGUAGAGGUGAAAUUCGUAGAUAUUUGGAGGAACACCAGUGGCGAAGGCGACUGACUGGACUCUUGCUGACGCUGAGGUGCGAAAGCGUGGGGAGCAAAC
RNAcentral lists this ribosomal RNA (400 nucleotides) under uncultured bacterium. Its description in RNAcentral is "bacterial SSU rRNA". It matches the Rfam family "Bacterial small subunit ribosomal RNA", at positions 356 to 773 of the family's 1533-position model. The record is from RNAcentral.